Molecule: ribosomal RNA, 424 nt
Filed under: uncultured bacterium
Lineage: Bacteria
Description: partial 16S ribosomal RNA
Rfam family: Bacterial small subunit ribosomal RNA
Source: RNAcentral
GUGGGGAAUCUUGCGCAAUGGGCGAAAGCCUGACGCAGCCAUGCCGCGUGAAUGAUGAAGGUCUUAGGAUUGUAAAAUUCUUUCACCGGGGACGAUAAUGACGGUACCCGGAGAAGAAGCUCCGGCUAACUUCGUGCCAGCAGCCGCGGUAAUACGAAGGGGGCUAGCGUUGCUCGGAAUUACUGGGCGUAAAGGGCGCGUAGGCGGACAGCUUAGUCAGAGGUGAAAGCCCAGGGCUCAACCUUGGAAUUGCCUUUGAUACUGGCUGUCUUGAGUUUGGGAGAGGUGAGUGGAACUACGAGUGUAGAGGUGAAAUUCGUAGAUAUUCGGAAGAACACCAGUGGCGAAGGCGACUCACUGGCCCAAUACUGACGCUGAGGCGCGAAAGCGUGGGGAGCAAACAGGAUUAGAUACCCCGGUGUCC